Small nuclear RNA from Hippoglossus stenolepis (Pacific halibut), 106 nucleotides. The record is from RefSeq and is a predicted model, not a curated record. NCBI's taxonomy places the organism in Eukaryota, Metazoa, Chordata, Actinopteri, Pleuronectiformes, Pleuronectidae.
GUACUUGCUUCGGCCAGUACAUAUAAUAAAUUGGAUACACGAUGCAGAGAGGAACAGCAUGGCCCCUGCGAAGGAUGACCAUAAUUCGUGAGCGUUUCCUAUUUUA